AGACUAUUUCUUUCAGGGAUCAUUUCUUUAGUUGUAGACCUGAGAAAUGUGUUUCUAAAGAGUUUGGUCUCGCUGUCCACGACGAAGAGUUCAGAUGUUUCCUUCAGAGCAGGAAGCGGGUGGGAAGGCUUAGUUUCUUCUCCACUGUUGAAGACUGUUCAGAGAUUCCGAGUGAGACUCUGAAGGAGGAAGCAUGUUCUGAGUGGA
Molecule: small nucleolar RNA, 207 nt
Organism: Eleginops maclovinus (Patagonian blennie)
Lineage: Eukaryota; Metazoa; Chordata; Actinopteri; Perciformes; Eleginopidae
Product: small nucleolar RNA U3
Exons: 1
Source: RefSeq, a predicted model, not a curated record